AAUGGGUCAGCGACUUAUAUUCUGUAGCAAGGUUAACCGAAUAGGGGAGCCGAAGGGAAACCGAGUCUUAACUGGGCGUUAAGUUGCAGGGUAUAGACCCGAAACCCGGUGAUCUAGCCAUGGGCAGGUUGAAGGUUGGGUAACACUAACUGGAGGACCGAACCGACUAAUGUUGAAAAAUUAGCGGAUGACUUGUGGCUGGGGGUGAAAGGCCAAUCAAACCGGGAGAUAGCUGGUUCUCCCCGAAAGCUAUUUAGGUAGCGCCUCGUGAAUUCAUCUCCGGGGGUAGAGCACUGUUUCGGCAAGGGGGUCAUCCCGACUUACCAACCCGAUGCAAACUGCGAAUACCGGAGAAUGUUAUCACGGGAGACACACGGCGGGUGCUAACGUCCGUCGUGAAGAGGGAAACAACCCAGACCGCCAGCUAAGGUCCCAAAGUCAUGGUUAAGUGGGAAACGAUGUGGGAAGGCCCAGACAGCCAGGAUGUUGGCUUAGAAGCAGCCAUCAUUUAAAGAAAGCGUAAUAGCUCACUGGUCGAGUCGGCCUGCGCGGAAGAUGUAACGGGGCUAAACCAUGCACCGAAGCUGCGGCAGCGACACUGUGUGUUGUUGGGUAGGGGAGCGUUCUGUAAGCCUGUGAAGGUGUGCUGUGAGGCAUGCUGGAGGUAUCAGAAGUGCGAAUGCUGACAUAAGUAACGAUAAAGCGGGUGAAAAGCCCGCUCGCCGGAAGACCAAGGGUUCCUGUCCAACGUUAAUCGGGGCAGGGUGAGUCGACCCCUAAGGCGAGGCCGAAAGGCGUAGUCGAUGGGAAACAGGUUAAUAUUCCUGUACUUGGUGUUACUGCGAAGGGGGGACGGAGAAGGCUAUGUUGGCCGGGCGACGGUUGUCCCGGUUUAAGCGUGUAGGCUGGUUUUCCAGGCAAAUCCGGAAAAUCAAGGCUGAGGCGUGAUGACGAGGCACUACGGUGCUGAAGCAACAAAUGCCCUGCUUCCAGGAAAAGCCUCUAAGCAUCAGGUAACAUCAAAUCGUACCCCAAACCGACACAGGUGGUCAGGUAGAGAAUACCAAGGCGCUUGAGAGAACUCGGGUGAAGGAACUAGGCAAAAUGGUGCCGUAACUUCGGGAGAAGGCACGCUGAUAUGUAGGUGAAGUCCCUCGCGGAUGGAGCUGAAAUCAGUCGAAGAUACCAGCUGGCUGCAACUGUUUAUUAAAAACACAGCACUGUGCAAACACGAAAGUGGACGUAUACGGUGUGACGCCUGCCCGGUGCCGGAAGGUUAAUUGAUGGGGUCAGCGCAAGCGAAGCUCUUGAUCGAAGCCCCGGUAAACGGCGGCCGUAACUAUAACGGUCCUAAGGUAGCGAAAUUCCUUGUCGGGUAAGUUCCGACCUGCACGAAUGGCGUAAUGAUGGCCAGGCUGUCUCCACCCGAGACUCAGUGAAAUUGAACUCGCUGUGAAGAUGCAGUGUACCCGCGGCAAGACGGAAAGACCCCGUGAACCUUUACUAUAGCUUGACACUGAACAUUGAGCCUUGAUGUGUAGGAUAGGUGGGAGGCUUUGAAGUGUGGACGCCAGUCUGCAUGGAGCCGACCUUGAAAUACCACCCUUUAAUGUUUGAUGUUCUAACGUGGACCCGUGAUCCGGGUUGCGGACAGUGUCUGGUGGGUAGUUUGACUGGGGCGGUCUCCUCCUAAAGAGUAACGGAGGAGCACGAAGGUUGGCUAAUCCUGGUCGGACAUCAGGAGGUUAGUGCAAUGGCAUAAGCCAGCUUGACUGCGAGCGUGACGGCGCGAGCAGGUGCGAAAGCAGGUCAUAGUGAUCCGGUGGUUCUGAAUGGAAGGGCCAUCGCUCAACGGAUAAAAGGUACUCCGGGGAUAACAGGCUGAUACCGCCCAAGAGUUCAUAUCGACGGCGGUGUUUGGCACCUCGAUGUCGGCUCAUCACAUCCUGGGGCUGAAGUAGGUCCCAAGGGUAUGGCUGUUCGCCAUUUAAAGUGGUACGCGAGCUGGGUUUAGAACGUCGUGAGACAGUU
Molecule: ribosomal RNA, 2031 nt
Filed under: Escherichia coli
Lineage: Bacteria; Pseudomonadati; Pseudomonadota; Gammaproteobacteria; Enterobacterales; Enterobacteriaceae
Description: partial 23S ribosomal RNA
Rfam family: Bacterial large subunit ribosomal RNA
Source: RNAcentral